This 468-nucleotide ribosomal RNA is filed under the name uncultured bacterium. RNAcentral describes it as "partial 16S ribosomal RNA". It matches the Rfam family "Bacterial small subunit ribosomal RNA", at positions 28 to 507 of the family's 1533-position model. The record is from RNAcentral.
GACGAAUGCUGGCGGCGUGCUUAACACAUGCAAGUCGAACGGAAAGGCCCUGCUUUUGUGGGGUGCUCGAGUGGCGAACGGGCGAGUAACACGUGAGUAACCUGCCCUUGACUUUGGGAUAACUUCAGGAAACUGGGGCUAAUACCGGAUAGGAGCUCCUGCUGCAUGGUGGGGGUUGGAAAGUUUCGGCGGUUGGGGAUGGACUCGCGGCUUAUCAGCUUGUUGGUGGGGUAGUGGCUUACCAAGGCUUUGACGGGUAGCCGGCCUGAGAGGGUGACCGGCCACAUUGGGACUGAGAUACGGCCCAGACUCCUACGGGAGGCAGCAGUGGGGAAUAUUGCACAAUGGGCGGAAGCCUGAUGCAGCAACGCCGCGUGCGGGAUGACGGCCUUCGGGUUGUAAACCGCUUUCGCCUGUGACGAAGCGUGAGUGACGGUAAUGGGUAAAGAAGCACCGGCUAACUACGUG